Molecule: non-coding RNA, 24 nt
Filed under: Arabidopsis thaliana (thale cress)
Lineage: Eukaryota; Viridiplantae; Streptophyta; Magnoliopsida; Brassicales; Brassicaceae
Source: RNAcentral
AGCGUAAAGGCUGCAUGUGUGCUU